CCUACGGGAGGCAGCAGUGAGGAAUAUUGGUCAAUGGACGAGAGUCUGAACCAGCCAAGUAGCGUGAAGGAUGACUGCCCUAUGGGUUGUAAACUUCUUUUAUAAAGGAAUAAAACGAGGCACGUGUGCCUUUUUGCAUGUACUUUAUGAAUAAGGAUCGGCUAAUUCCGUGCCAGCAGCCGCGGUAAUACGGAAGGUCCGGGCGUUAUCCGGAUUUAUUGGGUUUAAAGGGAGCGUAGGCCGGCUUUUAAGUCAGCUGUGAAAGUCCGCGGCUCAACCGUGGAAUUGCAGUUGAAACUGGAGGCCUUGAGUGCACACAGGGAUGCCGGAAUUCAUGGUGUAGCGGUGAAAUGCUUAGAUAUCAUGAAGAACUCCGAUCGCGAAGGCAAGUGUCCGGGGUGCAACUGACGCUGAGGCUCGAAAGUGCGGGUAUCAAACAGGAUUAGAUACCCUUGUAGUC
RNAcentral lists this ribosomal RNA (460 nucleotides) under uncultured bacterium. Its description in RNAcentral is "partial 16S ribosomal RNA". It matches the Rfam family "Bacterial small subunit ribosomal RNA", at positions 338 to 795 of the family's 1533-position model. The record is from RNAcentral.